GCUCACGUAGCUCAAAUGGACAGAGCUUCACCCUGUCAAGGUGAGAGAUGCGGGUUCGAAUCCCGUCGCGAGCGCCA
RNAcentral lists this transfer RNA (77 nucleotides) under Acrocarpospora pleiomorpha. RNAcentral describes it as "tRNA-Asp". It matches the Rfam family "tRNA". From Rfam's summary of the family: Transfer RNA (tRNA) molecules are approximately 80 nucleotides in length. Their secondary structure includes four short double-helical elements and three loops (D, anti-codon, and T loops). The record is from RNAcentral. Lineage: Bacteria; Bacillati; Actinomycetota; Actinomycetes; Streptosporangiales; Streptosporangiaceae.